GACGAACGCUGGCGGCGUGCCUAAUACAUGCAAGUAGAACGCUGAAGAGAGGAGCUUGCUCUUCUUGGAUGAGUUGCGAACGGGUGAGUAACGCGUAGGUAACCUGCCUUGUAGCGGGGGAUAACUAUUGGAAACGAUAGCUAAUACCGCAUAACAAUGGAUGACACAUGUCAUUUAUUUGAAAGGGGCAAUUGCUCCACUACAAGAUGGACCUGCGUUGUAUUAGCUAGUAGGUGAGGUAAUGGCUCACCUAGGCGACGAUACAUAGCCGACCUGAGAGGGUGAUCGGCCACACUGGGACUGAGACACGGCCCAGACUCCUACGGGAGGCAGCAGUAGGGAAUCUUCGGCAAUGGGGGCAACCCUGACCGAGCAACGCCGCGUGAGCGAAGAAGGUUUUCGGAUCGUAAAGCUCUGUUGUAAGUCAAGAACGGGUGUGAGAGUGGAAAGUUCACACUGUGACGGUAGCUUACCAGAAAGGGACGGCUAACUACGUG
RNAcentral lists this ribosomal RNA (497 nucleotides) under uncultured bacterium. Its description in RNAcentral is "partial 16S ribosomal RNA". It matches the Rfam family "Bacterial small subunit ribosomal RNA", at positions 28 to 507 of the family's 1533-position model. The record is from RNAcentral.